UAAUACAGAGGGUGCGAGCGUUAAUCGGAAUUACUGGGCGUAAAGCGUGCGUAGACGGUUAUUUAAGUCGGGUGUGAAAGCCCCGGGCUCAACCUGGGAAUUGCAUUCGAGACUGAAUAGCUAGGGUACGGUAGAGGGAAGCGGAAUUUCCGGUGUAGCGGUGAAAUGCGUAGAUAUCGGAAGGAACAUCAGUGGCGAAAGCGGCUUCCUGGACCAGUACCGACGUUCAGGCACGAAAGCGUGGGGAGCAAACAGGAUUAGAUACCCUGGUAGUCCACGCCAUAAACGAUGAGGACUAGACGUUGGAGGGGUAAGCCUUUCAGUGUCGUAGCUAACGCGCUAAGUCCUCCGCCUGGGGAGUACGGCCGCAAGGUUG
RNAcentral lists this ribosomal RNA (376 nucleotides) under uncultured bacterium. RNAcentral's name for it is "bacterial SSU rRNA". It matches the Rfam family "Bacterial small subunit ribosomal RNA", at positions 521 to 896 of the family's 1533-position model. The record is from RNAcentral.